This 468-nucleotide ribosomal RNA is filed under the name uncultured bacterium. RNAcentral describes it as "partial 16S ribosomal RNA". It matches the Rfam family "Bacterial small subunit ribosomal RNA", at positions 28 to 507 of the family's 1533-position model. The record is from RNAcentral.
GACGAACGCUGGCGGCGUGCUUAACACAUGCAAGUUGAACGGAAAGGCCCUGCUUUUGUGGGGUGCUCGAGUGGCGAACGGGUGAGUAACACGUGAGUAACCUGCCCUUGACUUUGGGAUAACUUCAGGAAACUGGGGCUAAUACCGGAUAGGAGCUCCUGCUGCAUGGUGGGGGUUGGAAAGUUUCGGCGGUUGGGGAUGGACUCGCGGCUUAUCAGCUUGUUGGUGGGGUAGUGGCUUACCAAGGCUUUGACGGGUAGCCGGCCUGAGAGGGUGACCGGCCACAUUGGGACUGAGAUACGGCCCAGACUCCUACGGGAGGCAGCGGUGGGGAAUAUUGCACAAUGGGCGGAAGCCUGAUGCAGCAACGCCGCGUGCGGGAUGACGGCCUUCGGGUUGUAAACCGCUUUCGCCUGUGACGAAGCGUGAGUGACGGUAAUGGGUAAAGAAGCACCGGCUAACUACGUG